Molecule: ribosomal RNA, 402 nt
Filed under: uncultured bacterium
Lineage: Bacteria
Description: bacterial SSU rRNA
Rfam family: Bacterial small subunit ribosomal RNA
Source: RNAcentral
UGGGGAAUAUUGCACAAUGGGCGAAAGCCUGAUGCAGCAACGCCGCGUGAGUGAUGAAGGCCUUCGGGUUGUAAAGCUCUGUCUUCUGGGACGAUAAUGACGGUACCAGAGGAGGAAGCCACGGCUAACUACGUGCCAGCAGCCGCGGUAAUACGUAGGUGGCAAGCGUUGUCCGGAUUUACUGGGCGUAAAGGAUGCGUAGGCGGAUACUUAAGUCAGAUGUGAAAAUCCCGGGCUUAACUUAGGAACUGCAUUUGAAACUGGGUAUCUAGAGUGCAGGAGAGGAAAGUGGAAUUCCUAGUGUAGCGGUGAAAUGCGUAGAGAUUAGGAAGAACACCAGUGGCGAAGGCGACUUUCUGGACCGUAACUGACGCUGAGGCAUGAAAGCGUGGGGAGCAAACA